Oreochromis aureus is the source of this 605-nucleotide long non-coding RNA. The record is from Ensembl. NCBI's taxonomy places the organism in Eukaryota, Metazoa, Chordata, Actinopteri, Cichliformes, Cichlidae.
CACAUUUUGAACAGCACCAUGGGAAUUUCGGAUUUUACACAGGUGGUUGGAUGUUACACUCUGGAAAUGGAAGCAAGAUUACCCAUGGAAACAUCUGCCAUUACAAUUAUCUCAUGCACCUGCUCGCUGGACUUACCUGCAUACAGCUCAGCCACAGCUACGUUGCAGACUCCAUUCUGUUUCUCGCCUGCCCACCCCCGCUUCACUACCUGUGAUCUUGGAUCAAUUCAUACCAACAUUCACCCGGACCUCCGCAACCUCGCCUCGCCCUCUCACGUUCCUUCACCUGCAACAAAUGUCUCAGGCUACCGGCUCUAGCACCCCUGUGUCCUCAUCAACUUAUAAUAACUGAUAAUUCAUGCUCUAGCUCGAGAAUCUUGUUACGUCAUGUGCCUAUUACCCUGAUCGUAACCCAAGUUGGUAGUUAUAGUGUUUUCCUCUCAUCAUUGUAUAUAGCCUGUUGGCCAUGUUCACAGUUACAGUAUUAACUCACGCACAUGUAUAUAGCUCAUAGGUCUAAUAUUUAGCUCACGCCUUUGCAUAUAGUUCCCAGUCCAAUCUUCGCCAACGUGGGUAACUUGAUGAACUGGUGGGGAAGAGAUGAC